This is a non-coding RNA of Taeniopygia guttata (zebra finch), 423 nucleotides long. The record is from RefSeq and is a predicted model, not a curated record. Lineage: Eukaryota; Metazoa; Chordata; Aves; Passeriformes; Estrildidae.
CCUCCUCCUCUUGCUCUGGCGUUCUCUUCGUUGCCCUGUCUGCCUUCCUGUGGUGGAACCCCAGCCGGCAGCUCAGCCCCAGGCAGCCGCUCGCUCAUUCUCCUCACUGGGAUUGGGGAGAGAAUCAGAAGGUAUGCUCCAGGAAAGGAAGAGACAGAGAGUGAAGGAGGCAGAGGUGCCUGUUUACCAUCCCCAGUUGCUUGCUGAGCUUUUCUUCAUCUACAGAUGAUGAAGUAGUUUCUAAGAAAAAAAUUAUCUAUUGUGCAUUAAUGUAGUUUUCAAGGAAAAUCCCUUCUGAAUCAUCACAAAUGUUCUGUAAUAGUUAUUAGAGGACCUAUUUGCAUCCAUAAAUAGUUUCUUUUAUACUUAACUUCAAACCAAGUGUCUUUCCAGCUUGAAUUAAAGUGUUGCUUUGUCAGACCA